GACGAACGCUGGCGGCGUGCUUAACACAUGCAAGUCGAACGAUGAAGCCCAGCUUGCUGGGUGGAUUAGUGGCGAACGGGUGAGUAACACGUGGGCAACCUGCCCCAAACUCUGGGAUAACUCCUCGAAAGAGGUGCUAAUACCGGAUACGAACUAGACAGACAUCUGUACUAGUUGGAAAGUUUUUCGGUUUGGGAUGGGCCCGCGGCCUAUCAGCUUGUUGGUGAGGUAACGGCUCACCAAGGCUACGACGGGUAACCGGCCUGAGAGGGCGACCGGUCACACGGGGACUGAGACACGGCACAGACUCCUACGGGAGGCAGCAGUGGGGAAUAUUGCGCAAUGGGCGAAAGCCUGACGCAGCGACGCCGCGUGAGGGAUGAAGGUCUUUGGAUCGUAAACCUCUUUCAGUAGGGACGAAGCGAAAGUGACGGUACCUAAAGAAGAAGCACCGGCUAACUACGUGCCAGCCGCCGCGGUAA
Molecule: ribosomal RNA, 482 nt
Filed under: uncultured bacterium
Lineage: Bacteria
Description: partial 16S ribosomal RNA
Rfam family: Bacterial small subunit ribosomal RNA
Source: RNAcentral